This 560-nucleotide ribosomal RNA is filed under the name Enterobacter hormaechei. Its description in RNAcentral is "bacterial SSU rRNA". It matches the Rfam family "Bacterial small subunit ribosomal RNA", at positions 351 to 1533 of the family's 1533-position model. The record is from RNAcentral. Lineage: Bacteria; Pseudomonadati; Pseudomonadota; Gammaproteobacteria; Enterobacterales; Enterobacteriaceae.
GCAGUGGGGAAUUUUGCACAAUGGGCGCAUGCGUGAGGCAGCCAUGCCGCGUGUAUGAAGAAGGCCUUCGUGUUGUAAAUUACUUUCAGCGGGGAGGCAGGCGAUAAGGUUAUUAACCUGGUCGAUGGACGUUACCCGCCGAAGAAGCACCGGCUAACUCCGUGCCAGCAGCCGCGUUAUUACGGAGGGUCCAAGCGUUUAUCGGAAUUACUGGGCGUAAAGCGCACCCAGGCGGUUUGUCAAUUCGGAUGUGAAAUCCCCGGGUUCAACCUGGGAGCUCCAUUGGAAACGGGCGGGCUAGAGUCUGGUGGAGGAAGGUGGAAUUCCAGGUGUACCGUUGAAAUGCGUAGAGAUCGGGAGGACUCCCGGUGGCGAGGGCGCCCUCCUGUACAAAGACUGCCGUUCAGGUGCGAAACCGUGGGGACCAACCAGGAUUAGAUACCCUGUUAGUCCACGCCGUAACCGAUGUCGAUUAGGAGGUUGUGCCCUUGAGGCGUGGCUGCCGGAGUUAACGCAGUUAAGUACGACCGCCCUGGGAUCCCCACCCUCCGUCUCCCACC